Molecule: ribosomal RNA, 465 nt
Filed under: uncultured bacterium
Lineage: Bacteria
Description: bacterial SSU rRNA
Rfam family: Bacterial small subunit ribosomal RNA
Source: RNAcentral
CCUACGGGUGGCAGCAGUGGGGAAUUUUGGACAAUGGGCGCAAGCCUGAUCCAGCCAUGCCGCGUGAGUGAAGAAGGCCUUCGGGUUGUAAAGCUCUUUCAGUCGGGAAGAAAAGGCGGGCUCUAACAUAGCCUGUUGCUGACGGUACCGACAGAAGAAGCACCGGCUAACUACGUGCCAGCAGCCGCGGUAAUACGUAGGGUGCGAGCGUUAAUCGGAAUUACUGGGCGUAAAGCGUGCGCAGGCGGUUUGCUAAGACAGGUGUGAAAUCCCCGGGCUUAACCUGGGAACUGCGCUUGUGACUGGCAGGCUAGAGUACGGCAGAGGGGGGUGGAAUUCCACGUGUAGCAGUGAAAUGCGUAGAGAUGUGGAGGAACACCGAUGGCGAAGGCAGCCCCCUGGGCCUGUACUGACGCUCAUGCACGAAAGCGUGGGGAGCAAACAGGAUUAGAUACCCGAGUAGUC